GCUGUCUCCAAUAACAAAGGAGAUAACUUCCCCACUGGGGAAAUAUUAACCCUUGGGUUCAUUUCCCUCUUCCUCCUCCCCAGGUAUACGACCGAGGGAUAUAUCCAGAUCUAGGAUAAGCAGCAAAGAGCACCAAAAUGUGCAGGGAAUGGAGGCAGCUUUGGGACCUGAAGGAGGGAUGCUUGGACACACAUGCGCGUCGUCCCUGCAAGCUCUUUCAGGACGGGUCUGAGCCAGGACUACAGAAAGCUUUGCAUUGGCGUUCCUGGGCUUUGAAAUGCAGGCGCUUGCUUCCAGUGGGACAUUAGUUAGAAGUCCCCAGCAGGACUGUACCUUUCCCCCCAUUAAAAAAAAAA
This is a long non-coding RNA of Alligator sinensis (Chinese alligator), 356 nucleotides long. RefSeq lists it as uncharacterized. The transcript is spliced from 2 exons. The record is from RefSeq and is a predicted model, not a curated record. NCBI's taxonomy places the organism in Eukaryota, Metazoa, Chordata, Crocodylia, Alligatoridae.